Molecule: ribosomal RNA, 253 nt
Filed under: uncultured bacterium
Lineage: Bacteria
Description: partial 16S ribosomal RNA
Rfam family: Bacterial small subunit ribosomal RNA
Source: RNAcentral
UACGGGGGGGGCAAGCGUUGUUCGGAAUUACUGGGCGUAAAGAGCGCGCAGGCGGUCGUUCAAGUCGCGUGUGAAAGCCCCCGGCUCAACUGGGGAGGGUCACGCGAUACUGUUCGACUCGAAGGCAGGAGAGGGAAGUGGAAUUCCCGGUGUAGUGGUGAAAUGCGUAGAUAUCGGGAGGAACACCAGUGGCGAAGGCGACUUCCUGGCCUGUUCUUGACGCUGAGGCGCGAAAGCUAGGGGAGCAAACGGG